Molecule: long non-coding RNA, 368 nt
Organism: Pipistrellus kuhlii (Kuhl's pipistrelle)
Lineage: Eukaryota; Metazoa; Chordata; Mammalia; Chiroptera; Vespertilionidae
Exons: 4
Source: RefSeq, a predicted model, not a curated record
CUAACUUUUGAGUCUAUUUAUAAAUUGAGUAGUUUUAUCCAGAGCAGUUCCAAUUCAUUGGAAUUAUUUCAACAAGUUAGUUGAAUAAAUUCAAAAGGAUAAUAUAAGAUAUGUUUAAUGCAAAGGAUAUGUGUGGCUAGUGUAAGCGCCUAAAACACGACUUGCCUAUCAAUGUCUGAGCACCACCAAAAGGGUGCACACUAACUCUAUUAGUAGUAGAUGAUUGCGUAGGGAGUACAGUCAGUUGUACUGUGAUCUGUAUAUAUGGGGCCUGGUGGGUACCAAAAAAAUUAAGGGGACACUUUACUUUGCAGUAUACCUGAAACUAAUACAAAAUAAUAUUGAAUAUAAUCUAAUCUAUAAUAUAA